RNAcentral lists this transfer RNA (74 nucleotides) under Inopinoteuthis magna. RNAcentral describes it as "Cirrothauma magna tRNA-Leu". Lineage: Eukaryota; Metazoa; Mollusca; Cephalopoda; Octopoda; Cirroteuthidae. The record is from RNAcentral.
AUUAAGGUGGCAGACCAGUGCGAUGGAUUUAAGCUCCUUUUAGAGAAAAUAAUAUUAUUUGUUUCUUCUUAAUA